RNAcentral lists this ribosomal RNA (361 nucleotides) under uncultured bacterium. RNAcentral describes it as "bacterial SSU rRNA". It matches the Rfam family "Bacterial small subunit ribosomal RNA", at positions 536 to 896 of the family's 1533-position model. The record is from RNAcentral.
AAGCGUUAAUCGGAAUUACUGGGCGUAAAGCGUGCSCMGGCGGUGAUGUAAGACAGUUGUGAAAUCCCCGGGCUCAACCUGGGAACUGCAUUUAAAACUGUCCAGCUAGAGUCUUGUAGAGGGGGGUAGAAUUCCAGGUGUAGCGGUGAAAUGCGUAGAGAUCUGGAGGAAUACCGGUGGCGAAGGCGGCCCCCUGGACAAAGACUGACGCUCAGGUGCGAAAGCGUGGGGAGCAAACAGGAUUAGAUACCCUGGUAGUCCACGCCGUAAACGAUGUCGAUUUGGAGGCUGUGUCCUUGAGACGUGGCUUCCGGAGCUAACGCGUUAAAUCGACCGCCUGGGGAGUACGGCCGCAAGGUUA